Long non-coding RNA from Colias croceus (clouded yellow), 575 nucleotides. RefSeq lists it as uncharacterized. The transcript has 3 exons. The record is from RefSeq and is a predicted model, not a curated record. NCBI's taxonomy places the organism in Eukaryota, Metazoa, Arthropoda, Insecta, Lepidoptera, Pieridae.
UAUGGAUAAAACGUAAAUAUGUACCACGGGCGAAGCCAGGACAGACUGCUUGUAUAAUAUAUACGUACCUAUAUAGACUUGUAUUAUGAAAAACGAGACAUCGUUUUGAAAAAUGGGUAAGUCGAUUUUUCACAUAAUUAUACAAGACCCAAGUAGGGACAUAGCGAAAUAUAAAUAUACCAACUAGGUACUUAAACAGUUGCAUACAUUAGAUAGUUAUAUACCUAUUAGCUUGCCUUCUAUCUGUUCAUCAUCUUCAACAGACACAUUUUUCAAACAACAAUAGAUCUGUUACCUAACAUACCUACUUAUCUACUGAUUUUUACAGAUAACACUCAGCCAAAUUACCGAAAAAGUAAUAAAAAGCGUUUACGUCUCUCGGCUCGAAGGAAAAAAUGUGGACCCACAAAACAAAAGAAUAAACAAGCGUUUUUAAAUGAAAACAAAGAAAACAUUGACAGUAAUGAUGUAUCACGGCUUAGUCUGGUGUUUGAAGGAAAUCGGAAUCAUCUUGACAACUAGUACAAAGGGUUUUAUUUAUAGUCCUAGAAUAAUAAAUAUCUUACACAAUUGUA